Molecule: ribosomal RNA, 468 nt
Filed under: uncultured bacterium
Lineage: Bacteria
Description: partial 16S ribosomal RNA
Rfam family: Bacterial small subunit ribosomal RNA
Source: RNAcentral
GACGAACGCUGGCGGCGUGCUUAACACAUGCAAGUCGAACGAUGAUGCCAGCUUGCUGGUGGAUUAGUGGCGAACGGGUGAGUAACACGUGAGCAACCUGCCCCUGACUUCGGGAUAACCGCGGGAAACCGUGGCUAAUACCGAAUAUGACGCGCUAUCGCAUGGUGGUGUGUGGAAAGAUUUAUCGGUUGGGGAUGGGCUCGCGGCCUAUCAGCUUGUUGGUGGGGUGAUGGCCUACCAAGGCGACGACGGGUAGCCGGCCUGAGAGGGUGACCGGCCACACUGGGACUGAGACACGGCCCAGACUCCUACGGGAGGCAGCAGUGGGGAAUAUUGCACAAUGGGCGCAAGCCUGAUGCAGCGACGCCGCGUGAGGGAUGACGGCCUUCGGGUUGUAAACCUCUUUCAGUAGGGAAGAAGGCCUUCGGGUUGACGGUACCUGCAGAAGAAGCGCCGGCUAACUACGUG